This 253-nucleotide ribosomal RNA is filed under the name uncultured Clostridiales Family XIV bacterium. RNAcentral describes it as "partial 16S ribosomal RNA". It matches the Rfam family "Bacterial small subunit ribosomal RNA", at positions 524 to 776 of the family's 1533-position model. The record is from RNAcentral. Lineage: Bacteria; Bacillati; Bacillota; Clostridia; Eubacteriales; Clostridiales Family XIV. Incertae Sedis.
UACGUAGGGGGCAAGCGUUACCCGGAAUUACUGGGUGUAAAGGGUGAGUAGGUUGAUCUGUAAGUCAUAUGUGAAAUACCGAUGCUUAACAUCGGGGCUGCAUAAGAAACUACAGAUCUAGAGUACAGGAGAGGUAAGCGGAAUUCCUAGUGUAGCGGUGAAAUGCGUAGAUAUUAGGAAGAACACCAGUGGCGAAGGCGGCUUACUGGACUGAAACUGACACUGAGUCACGAAAGCGUGGGGAGCAAACAGG